GCAUCGGUGGGGCAUCGGAAACCCACAACCAUUACGUGCGAGGUUUUCGACCAAGUUGAGGGUUGAAAGCGGGGUUCGACUCCCCGUCGGUGCA
Non-coding RNA from Mycena polygramma, 94 nucleotides. The record is from the annotation of a GenBank genome assembly. Lineage: Eukaryota; Fungi; Basidiomycota; Agaricomycetes; Agaricales; Mycenaceae.